Small nucleolar RNA from Rhineura floridana, 218 nucleotides. RefSeq annotates it as small nucleolar RNA U3. The record is from RefSeq and is a predicted model, not a curated record. NCBI's taxonomy places the organism in Eukaryota, Metazoa, Chordata, Lepidosauria, Squamata, Rhineuridae. The transcript has a single exon.
AAGUCUGUACUGGCAGGGAUCAUUUCCAUAAUUUCAAACUAGAGACGUGUACUCAAAAGUGAUUGGUUAAGUGAACCAUAAGAACAUGUCAGAAUGUUUUCUUCUGAGCCCAAAGUGAGUGGGCAGGAUUGCAUUUAUGCAGAUGCUGCUUACUAUUAAUGACCAUUUUGUUUUCUUUUUCUAAGAGGGUUGGAGGGAGAGAACAUAGGCUGAGUAGC